Molecule: ribosomal RNA, 514 nt
Filed under: uncultured bacterium
Lineage: Bacteria
Description: partial 16S ribosomal RNA
Rfam family: Bacterial small subunit ribosomal RNA
Source: RNAcentral
GAUGAACGCUGGCGGCGUGCCUAAUACAUGCAAGUCGAGCGAACAGAUGAGAAGCUUGCUUCUCUGAUGUUAGCGGCGGACGGGUGAGUAACACGUGGGUAACCUACCUAUAAGACUGGGAUAACUCCGGGAAACCGGGGCUAAUACCGGAUAAUAUUUUGAACCGCAUGGUUCAAUAGUGAAAGACGGUUUCGGCUGUCACUUAUAGAUGGACCCGCGCCGUAUUAGCUAGUUGGUGAGGUAACGGCUUACCAAGGCGACGAUACGUAGCCGACCUGAGAGGGUGAUCGGCCACACUGGAACUGAGACACGGUCCAGACUCCUACGGGAGGCAGCAGUAGGGAAUCUUCCGCAAUGGGCGAAAGCCUGACGGAGCACCGCCGCGUGAGUGAUGAAGGUCUUCGGAUCGUAAAACUCUGUUGUUAGGGAAGAACAAAUUUGUUAGUAACUGAACAAGUCUUGACGGUACCUAACCAGAAAGCCACGGCUAACUACGUGCCAGCAGCCGCAGUAA